RNAcentral lists this long non-coding RNA (1528 nucleotides) under Cricetulus griseus (Chinese hamster). RNAcentral's name for it is "lncRNA (ENSCGRG00015037428.1)". Lineage: Eukaryota; Metazoa; Chordata; Mammalia; Rodentia; Cricetidae. The record is from RNAcentral.
CUUGGAAUUUAUUUUUAGCAUCUAUGUGCACUCAGGAGCAACCAUAGCAACGAAGGCACCUGAAAGUACCUGCAGGGGCUGGACAGAGGGGCAAACACUUGUCUACACAGGGAGUUAACAGCACGCUGGAUACAAGCAUCACCAGAUAGGAAUAAAGUGUGACCAGCCUGGUCUGCCCCACUGCAGGGUCUCUCAUUGAGCAUGGAGCUCACCAAAUAUGCUAUGCUAGCUGGCCAGUGAGCCCCGGAGAUUCACCUUCCCAGCACUAGGAUUACAAGUAUGUACCACCAUACUCUUUUUUCCCAUGGGUUCUAUGGCUUGAACUUAAGUCCUCAGAUCUGUAUAGGAAGCACAUUACAAACAGAGCCAUCUCCCCAACUCAUGUGUCAUGACUUAUGACUCAUUCCUUCACAAGACUGCAAGAGUUCCUACCACAAGAGAAGACAUGAAGACCAUUAGGCUUGGAGAAGGGCUUCACAGGUAUGCAUCAGAUUUUCUCAUCACAGCAAGGUCAAUAUCAAAAGUUUCAACCUUCUUUCCAAAGAACCAGUACAAAGGCGGCUGAGGACAUGAUGCUGACUCACAGGGCAUGGUCAGCCCACAUUGACUACAGGAGACCCCAGAGUCUGCAAAGACUAGAGCUUGGACUAAUCACCCAUGACUCCUUCCCAGGUCUUUGCCUUCCAGAUAGGUGGUCAAGGACCCUGAGACAACUUAGUAAACUCACUGGUUCCCAAACUUCUGCAUCAAAUUCUCUGGGCUGACAAAGAAAAAAUGUAACUUUCAUUCAAAGGGAGUAAGAGACAGUUCAUUCUAGAGCCAAGUAUGAAUGGCCAUAACCUGGGAACACAGACUCAAGUUUCCCUGAAUACCACUGUCCAGGGUGGUAACAGUUUCAUGAAGUUUUUAUAGUUAUAGAACAAAGAAAGCCAUAAAUCAAGGAAUUUUUAAAAUACAUCCAUGGGAUCACCAGGCAGUGGUUUGUAAUAUAGUGGGGAGUCUCUGUGGCAGGCUUCAGAUCUGACGACAUUUUUAGCCUAGGGACCUGUCUGUCAUUCCAACGAAAUUUACCUAGUAGUCCUAAGGAUAUUAGGUUUAACACAGAGGUGGACAAUGAAUGGCUAUCAAGGGGACUAAAGAUACCCUAGCAUACUUUGACUCCCAAUUUGCAACAUUCCAGCAGCCCAUCAGCCUCGUGGCAUGGUUACCACAAAUGUGGCUUGUUGUUUUCAGAGACCUCCAGUACUGGAAAACUCAAGCAGGGAUUUUUAAAAGAGCCCAGCCUGCACCUUCAGGAUAAGAGUCUUGGCUUUCUAGUCUUCACACUUGAGACUGAGGGCUAUGCCCUUCCCUUCCCAACAUGAAGUUUACUCCCUCUGCUUCUUUGGAAACACACACAGGGAAGGUACUGUAUCUAAUUUUAUAGUUUAUAAAGGGGGCUGACUCAAGGAAGCAACUGACAUGUCAGCCCAGUGUUGGCCAUUUUACCAUGGCUUUGCUUGGGCGUUGUUCACAUUAACCACAGAAA